Molecule: ribosomal RNA, 495 nt
Filed under: uncultured bacterium
Lineage: Bacteria
Description: bacterial SSU rRNA
Rfam family: Bacterial small subunit ribosomal RNA
Source: RNAcentral
AGGGUUUGAUCCUGGCUCAGAUUGAACGCUGGCGGCAUGCCUAACACAUGCAAGUCGAACGGAAACGAUGCUAGCUUGCUAGCAGGCGUCGAGUGGCGGACGGGUGAGUAAUGCAUAGGAAUCUACCUAAUAGUGGGGGACAACCUGGUGAAAACCAGGCUAAUACCGCAUAAUCCCUACGGGGCAAAGCAGGGGACCUUCGGGCCUUGCGCUAAUAGAUGAGCCUAUGUCGGAUUAGCUAGUUGGUGAGGUAAUGGCUCACCAAGGCGACGAUCCGUAGCUGGUUUGAGAGGAUGAUCAGCCACACUGGGACUGAGACACGGCCCAGACUCCUACGGGAGGCAGCAGUGGGGAAUAUUGCACAAUGGGCGAAAGCCUGAUGCAGCAAUGCCGCGUGUGUGAAGAAGGCCUUAGGGUUGUAAAGCACUUUCAGUAGGGAGGAAAAGUAAGUAGUUAAUAACUGCUUACCCUGACGUUACCUACAGAAGAAGCACC